Molecule: microRNA, 20 nt
Filed under: Ciona intestinalis (vase tunicate)
Lineage: Eukaryota; Metazoa; Chordata; Ascidiacea; Phlebobranchia; Cionidae
Description: cin-miR-4005a-5p
Source: miRBase by way of RNAcentral
UGAGUUGGUGCUAUCAUACU